This 53-nucleotide non-coding RNA is filed under the name unclassified sequences. The record is from Rfam.
GUCCGUUCAUCCUUCGGGACGCAUGAGAUCUGACCAUGGAACGGGGGUCAGGU